Molecule: ribosomal RNA, 449 nt
Filed under: Pimelia maura
Lineage: Eukaryota; Metazoa; Arthropoda; Insecta; Coleoptera; Tenebrionidae
Description: partial large subunit ribosomal RNA
Rfam family: Archaeal large subunit ribosomal RNA
Source: RNAcentral
UUUUGACUGUGCAAAGGUAGCAUAAUCAUUAGUUUUUUAAUUGAAAGCUGGAAUGAAAGGUUUGAUGAGAAAAUAACUGUCUCUGUGUAAAUGUUUUAGAACUUCAAUUUUAAGUGAAAAAGCUUAAAUUUUUUAUAAAGACGAGAAGACCCUAUAGAGUUUUAUAUUUGAUUGGAUAUAAAAGUUGUUGAAUUGAUUCUUUUAUUUUUAAUUAAGUAUUUUGUUGGGGCGAUGGAAAAAUUUGAUUAACUUUUUUUUGUUUUUAACAUUGAUUUAUGAUUACUUGAUCCUUUUUUUUGGAUUACAAGACUAAAUUACCUUAGGGAUAACAGCGUAAUUUUUUUUGGAGAGUUCUUAUCGAUAAAAAAGUUUGCGACCUCGAUGUUGGAUUAAAAUUAAAUUUCGGUGCAGAAGCGGAAAUUUUGGGUCUGUUCGACCUUAGAAAUUUU